GAUGAACGCCGACAGAAUGCUUAACACAUGCAAGUCUUUGGCGAAGCUGUGCUUGCACAGCCUAGCCAAGGCGGACGGGUGAGUAACGUGUAAGGAACUUGCCCUGCAGUCAGGGAUAACAGACGGAAACGACUGAUAAGACCAGGUAAAGUCAGGCGGACUCAUGUCCAGCCUGAUGAAAAGAGAUGCUGCAGGAGAGCCUUGCGUCCUAUUAGCUUGUUGGUGGGGUAACGGCCCACCAAGGCGAUGAUAGGUAGCCGGCCUGAGAGGGUGGACGGCCACAAGGGGACUGGGAGACAGCCCUUACGCCUACGGGGGGCAGCAGUGGAGAAUAUUGGACAAUGGGGGCAAGACUGAUCCAGCACUUCUGUGUGCACGAUGAAGGUUUUCGGAAUGUAAAGUGCUUUCAGCAGGGAAGAAAAAAAUGACGGUACCUGCAGAAGAAGCGACGGCUAAAUACGUG
This 463-nucleotide ribosomal RNA is filed under the name uncultured bacterium. RNAcentral describes it as "partial 16S ribosomal RNA". It matches the Rfam family "Bacterial small subunit ribosomal RNA", at positions 28 to 507 of the family's 1533-position model. The record is from RNAcentral.